GAUGAACGCUGGCGGCGUGCCUAACACAUGCAAGUCGAGCGAUGAAGUUUCCUUCGGGAAACGGAUUAGCGGCGGACGGGUGAGUAACACGUGGGUAACCUGCCUCAUAGUGGGGGAUAGCCUUUCGAAAGGAAGAUUAAUACCGCAUAACAUCAUUAGAUGGCAUCAUUUAGUGAUCAAAGGAUUUAUUCGCUAUGAGAUGGACCCGCGUCGCAUUAGCUAGUUGGUAAGGUAAUGGCUUACCAAGGCGACGAUGCGUAGCCGACCUGAGAGGGUGAUCGGCCACAUUGGGACUGAGACACGGCCCAGACUCCUACGGGAGGCAGCAGUGGGGAAUAUUGCACAAUGGGGGAAACCCUGAUGCAGCAACGCCGCGUGAGUGAUGACGGUCUUCGGAUUGUAAAGCUCUGUCUUUGGGGACGAUAAUGACGGUACCCAAGGAGGAAGCCACGGCUAACUACGUGCCAGCCGCCGCAGUAA
RNAcentral lists this ribosomal RNA (480 nucleotides) under uncultured bacterium. RNAcentral's name for it is "partial 16S ribosomal RNA". It matches the Rfam family "Bacterial small subunit ribosomal RNA", at positions 28 to 523 of the family's 1533-position model. The record is from RNAcentral.